CAAAAUCCAUGGACGCUCGUCUGCUGCUGAAUUCAUGUUUUAAAAGAAUGGACAAAGAUAGUCAGAUAGUUGAUACAAAGACCUUUGAUUUUUCAAACUGAUGGAUCAAAAAGUUAUUAUAAACAGAUAUAUUGAAAUGGCCGACUCAAAAUCAUGCUGUUAAUUAGGGCCCCCUGUUGUACAUGUACUUAGGAAUCGGACACCUCCAGAAGAUGAAAGAUCUACUUUACAUCUUUUUCAACGAAAGUACAAUUACUUUGAGAAGUAGGAGAAGCUAAGCAACAGGACAGAAUUCAUUUGAGGCAUUGCUUUCUAGAUUAUAUAGUGGAGUCAUAGAUUGUCCUAUUGAUUUAUGUGGAUAUGAGGAGCAGUAGUCAAUGAAUAAUUUUGUGAUGAGAGAAUUAGCUCCUCAGAUGUAAGUGGAAGGGAAGCUAUAUACAUUAUAUGUUUAAAUGAAGUUAACAACAGGAAUAGAUAUUGAGGAGAUCCUAUAGCUACAGUAUAUAUAAAUGUAACUGGUAUGUAUUUGUUACAGUAU
This is a long non-coding RNA of Mytilus californianus (California mussel), 538 nucleotides long. RefSeq lists it as uncharacterized. The record is from RefSeq and is a predicted model, not a curated record. NCBI's taxonomy places the organism in Eukaryota, Metazoa, Mollusca, Bivalvia, Mytilida, Mytilidae. The transcript is spliced from 4 exons.